Molecule: ribosomal RNA, 303 nt
Filed under: uncultured bacterium
Lineage: Bacteria
Description: partial 16S ribosomal RNA
Rfam family: Bacterial small subunit ribosomal RNA
Source: RNAcentral
AGCAGCCGCCGGGAAUACGAAGGGGGCUAGCGUUGCUCGGAAUCACUGGGCGUAAAGGGUGCGUAGGCGGGUCUUUAAGUCAGGGGUGAAAUCCUGGAGCUCAACUCCAGAACUGCCUUUGAUACUGAAGAUCUUGAGUUCGGGAGAGGUGAGUGGAACUGCGAGUGUAGAGGUGAAAUUCGUAGAUAUUCGCAAGAACACCAGUGGCGAAGGCGGCUCACUGGCCCGAUACUGACGCUGAGGCACGAAAGCGUGGGGAGCAAACAGGAUUAGAUACCCCAGUAGUCCCUGUCUCUUAUACAC